Long non-coding RNA from Lepisosteus oculatus (spotted gar), 1078 nucleotides. RefSeq lists it as uncharacterized. The record is from RefSeq and is a predicted model, not a curated record. NCBI's taxonomy places the organism in Eukaryota, Metazoa, Chordata, Actinopteri, Semionotiformes, Lepisosteidae.
AUAAAAAAAGCUAUUUGCAGGAAAUUGCAUCUGCAGAUCACUGUGUAACAAGUGGCUUUUGUUAUUCAUGUUUUUAUAGGUGGAGUGAGUUGGGGGUGCCUGUUUUACUUAACCUGGUCCUUUCUUUUUUUGAAUCAUGAUACUCCAGUUAUCUGCCUCUUUGCUGUACAGCAUAUUGCUAAAUUAGACAGAUAAUGUACUUUCCCUUAGUCUAAGAACAGACCAGCCUUCUGACAAUAAGGGUAUUGCAGACAGGAGACCACACAUGGGUGUACAGCCAGCUGGCAGGAAUGAAGAGAGUUUUGAGGAAGCAUGAUUGUGCAAAUUGGAGAAGUAAAGAAGGAAGUGUGAUCACUUAAUUUGUCCCAAGAGACAAAACUAAAAGAGCCAGCACUCCAAAACUUGCUGUUGUGUCAUUCUGAAUGAGUGAUUUGUACAUGGAAAAUGUACCGUUGUCUUCAGUUUUGGAGCCUCCAGUCUCUGGAUGAAUACAUGACAAGGAUUUGUGGCAUGCCCUAACAGUUCUGUGCCUGUGCCACUAUUGAGGAGAAGCGUAGGCAACAGCCAGAAAACCACCGGUACAAAGAACAGCAAGGACAGCAGCACCAGAAUGACUGCUGCUAAAGCCAGUAUCAUCUCCGCUGUUGGAAGAACCAGGGAAUUCAAGAGAACUCCGUGAGUGUAGGUCAGGCCCUAGGCAAACAUGUGGAAUGCUAUGAACAGUACAGACCUGGCUCUUUGGAAUUCUUUCCAAAACUAAAUAAAGGGAAAUUGUGGCCCUGAGAGAACAGUAUCCUGGUGUCCUGACUAAAUUCUCAACUCUGGGCUUGUGCAAUGAGCUUCCCUAAAGCUCCUAUAUUUGUUCCUUUGCACUGUAAGAGGACAAGGCUAAAAGCCCACCCAGACUUAUUUCUUACACCAACUGCUUUGACACUUAAAAGAUUAAAUUUAAAGUUCAGAACUUAAACACAGAAGGUAUUGUUUACAGUACCUGGUUUAGGGAUGAUGUGUAUUGUUUUAUUGCCACUGUAUUCGUCUUGAAUGAUUGUCAGCACUGUACUGUUUGCACGGCAGUAGU